This 253-nucleotide ribosomal RNA is filed under the name uncultured bacterium. RNAcentral describes it as "partial 16S ribosomal RNA". It matches the Rfam family "Bacterial small subunit ribosomal RNA", at positions 524 to 776 of the family's 1533-position model. The record is from RNAcentral.
UACGAAGGGGGCUAGCGUUGUUCGGAUUUACUGGGCGUAAAGCGCACGUAGGCGGAUCGUUAAGUCGGGGGUGAAAUCCUGGAGCUCAACUCCAGAACUGCCUUCGAUACUGGCGAUCUUGAGUCCGGAAGAGGUGAGUGGAACUCCUAGUGUAGAGGUGGAAUUCGUAGAUAUUGGGAAGAACACCGGUGGCGAAGGCGGCGACCUGGUCCUUGACUGACGCUGAGGCGCGAAAGCGUGGGGAGCAAACAGG